Long non-coding RNA from Equus caballus (horse), 6792 nucleotides. NCBI's taxonomy places the organism in Eukaryota, Metazoa, Chordata, Mammalia, Perissodactyla, Equidae. The record is from Ensembl.
AAUUCCUUAAGUAUUUAUUAUGCUUAUGUUAAAUAAUAAAUGAUUCAUUUCAAUUUUUGGGUGAGUCGUUCUGAGUCAAGAUGGCAAACGUUGAUGGAAAAAAUAACAAUGUUAAUAAUCAAAACCAAAUAAGUAUAAAAUAAAAUGGGAAUUCCAGAUUGAUGAAACGAAAACCUUAUGUGGACAAAUGGAGUUGAGAUUUGUGCAACAUGGAUGAACCUGGUGGGCGUUAUGCUCAAUGAAACAAGCCAGACAUAGAAACACAGAUACUGCCUGGGGUCACUUACAUGUGAACUCGAAAAACUAUAAAAGAAAGGUCAACUCAUAGAAACAGAGAAUAGAAAAGUGGUUGCCAGCGGCUGUGGCGUGGGGGAAAUAGAGAGAGGCAGGUAAAAGGAGACAAACUUUCACCUCUCAGAUGAGAAACGUCGGAGGUUCUAAUGUCUGGCGUGGUGACUACAGUCGAUAACACUGAAUUGCAUAAUUGAAAUCAGCUAGGAGACUGGCACUUCAGUGUCCUCACACACACACGCAAAGUCACUAGGUGAGGUGAAAACAGCAAUCAGAGUUGAGGACAGAGCAGGAUCAGGGUAUGAAUCCCUGGGAACUAGAUCAAAUUCCUGGGAGAACUUCAGACUUUCGAAGGCCAUGAGAUAGCUGGCUUCAAACCAAGAAUCCAGGAGACGCAAGGAACCCGGUGACCUCUGGCUUCCAGGGGGAAGACAUAGAAAACUAGCUAAGGUCUAGAAGGCCCAGGAGGGUAGAGGGAGGGAGACGUAGGCUAGAGGGUGGGGGAGGGGCUCUGGUCCAGCCUGCUCCCCUGCUGUCCCCUCCCCAGCCCUCAAGAGCCCUUUGUGACAAGGCCGCACUUCUGUCAUGGGGGCCUGGGGUAAUAAUCUCCAAGCCACUCCCAGAGCUCAGUCGCCUGAGGGCAGCACUGCGUUUCAGACAUGCAGAAUCCUCUCAUGUUUCUGAAAAGCCUCUUUGCUACCUGGCCGAGCUCCAGUUCCACUUCCUGGGUGAUUGGGACCAUCCUCCCCUUCCUGUGUGGACUGGGGCUCUUCCUCCUGUGCCUUCCCUCCCUGCAGAGGAAUCCAUCCUCACGACCACCUUGUGAACGCAGAAACAUAAGGAAGCGUCAAGUGGAGCCAAGAGGGAAGAGCAGCAGGAGCAGGAAGAAAAGGGGAGCUUUGAAAGCUUCCAGAGCUGCUGGGAAGGGCCUGGCAGAAGUGCGGGGCCAGGUGUCGCUUUCGCACAGCUCCCCAGGGAGGCUGUCUUCCAAGGGAUGCUCCCAUCGCUCAUCAUGUCAAGACUACCCUGGGGAGGCGAGCAACACAGCAUACGCCAGAGCCCAGCAGCCAUGCGGAAAGCCUGUGGCAGGUGCUACUCUCACCGUGACUCCAGCACAUUCCCUGAGUCCUCUGACCCACACCCCUAUACCUCUGGCCUCCACCCUGCCAGCAGAACCUCCAGCUGACUUGACCGGAAUCCCACUGGACACUACUGCCAUGAGCACAGCUCCAGCUCACUCCUGUUGGCCAUUUCCCAACUCAGGCCACGGCCGCAUGAGCUGGCGCGUCGAGUUCCUCUCCCGGUGGAACAUGAUCAAGGUCUUGUUCUUCCCCGGGUCAGCACACCUCCAGUCCCAGCAAGGGCACCUGUCCUGCCACCGACCAGUAGCCUCAUUCCGGGGAGGCCCCACACAUAGGGAGGGAGAGACGGAUAGCCCCUCAGUUGCCAACCCUGAUGCGCCAAAGCUGCUCAAGAUGGAAAUCAGGAAAAGAACACAAACGAAGGCCUGGGAAAAAGAAGAACAAGACGACCCAGGCAGCCCUCAGAUGCUCGAAGCACCCAGUAUCACGUCUGGGCUGAAUUUCCGCUGGCGCCCACCCCUCCUGUCCUUGGAGUCGGCUGAUCUGAACGCAAGUGAGGCUCAACCCUCGGCCCUUCCACGGUCUACUUUUCCCUCCUCUGCCACCCGUGAUUCUGGCACCCGCUUGGAGGCCGACAGUGCAGAGUUCUCGGGAAAACCUCUUGAGCCCCACCCAGGAGAGAAACAUAAGACUUUGACCACAAAAGCAUCAGUUCUGCGCCUGGCCCAUCCCCUCCCUUCAACUUCACCUGUGAGUGAGGAAAACCAGAAGGCCCCGGGAGGGACCCUACCUGGCAAUGGCUGUGGGCCCUCUGAGGCCUCUCUGAUGGGACAGCAGGGCCGGCCGCCUUCUCCGAGCUUCGCAUUCAGCCUCUCGGACAGAAAUGGGCAGAGCGGGACGGUCGUGGGGGCCAAGCAAGGCCGUCUACACCUGAGUCCAGGGUCAGCAAUGGCCAGGAACGAGCCUCUGAAAGAGAGUGGAGGUGGGGCGUCACCAGAGCCCUGCCGUGGGGUGGCAACACUGGAGGGCGAGUCAGGGUCCCAGUCUUGGAGCCAGGUCGGAGGAACAGGAGACGCCCUCGGGACCAAACCCCUCCAGGCCCUGCCUGAAAAAGAAGAGGUUUUUCACGUCAGCCCUUUCAGAAAAAUGUUGAGACGCUUCCUGCCCUGCCUGAGGCCCAAGAAGGAGGAAGCACCAGAGGAGCCCCUUGCAAAGGCAAGCCCGCGUCAGCCACCGCCCAGAGCCAGGCACGGGUCACACGCAGCUCGGCGUCGGAUGGCAGGGCUGUUCAGGCGCCAUCGACAGUAUCAUCCUUUGUCUGGGCACUGGGAGAGAGACUGAGGGUUCGCCAAGGACUUCUAGUUUUUCUCCUUACCUCACCCUCUGUGGUGAUGGUGACUUCCAACCCCAAUUUUCCCCAAAUACAUGUUUUUUCUCCUGAGACCUGGUGGCCUCCGUCUUGCCCUGCUAGGGGUAGAAGCAGGGUCAGGCUCCGCCCUCCCUGAGUGUCUGCUGUGGCUUCCAGAAGGGACAGGGCCAUGCGGGGAGGCUGACUGCAGCGUGGCUCACGCGCCCUGACCCCAACUCCCUCAUUGCACGCGAAGUACCCAUCACGCCAUCCUUACAAAAACAAAUGGAAGCUUUAGGAUAUUUCCAGAGGAGCAAAACCUCUAGACCCCAGCCCAGGAUGGGCCCCACCCGUCCUCUCCUGCGUUCUCUGGCCCUUGAGCUUCUGGGGCUGUAGGGAGGGGGUUUGCAGAGGCUCCAGGAAGUGUAGAGACAGAUUCACAGGUCACAGGGCGGGGAGGGGAGUGUGGGGCAGUGCUGGCCCUGAGUCCGGAGAGGGAAAGCUUGCCCUGCACCCCGAGCUCUUGGUGGGAAUAGAUGACGCUGCCCCAGGAGCUUCUUCUGUCCCUGCUGAAGCUGCCAUGGAGAUGGGCCUGCGCAACCCCCUCAGCCCAGCGUCGCCCUCCCUCUGUCCUUGUCACAGUCUGGAACAGCAGCGACGACCACGACUGAGCUCCAGCCUCUGAGGGUGGGCGGUUGGGGAGCACAGAGGCUGCUGCGGGCCUGUCCCCUCUGCCCAGAGGAGCACAGGGCCCUGCUCUCCUGCACCUGCCUUCUCCUCCUGGGGAAUGGAGCCGGGGGGUGAGUGUGUGGCGGCAGGAUCUGAUGAUGGGACACUGUGCACGUAGGGUGGGACCUGGGAGAAGGAGACAAAGUGCCACCAGAGUUUAACCACUUACCUACUGAAGGACAGUUUUUGGUUUUUAUAAUUUUGUCCCCUAUGCGUAAAGCUGCUAUGAACUUCUGGUGAAGGUUUUUGUGUGAACCUAAAUUUUUCUGCACAGUAAAUAUCAAUGGCAAUGAGUAACGAAGGUUUGAAAAUGGGCCCGCCUCCAGGAACUUAGAAAGAAUGCAACACGCAUUAGAGGUUGAAAGGCUGAAACAGGCAGAGAGAGUAACCCUAACACCAUAUCUUAGAUUGAGCCAUUUCCUCAGGAAAAAAAUGCCGUUACCUAACGCACGACAGGUGCCGAGGACGUGGGAGGGACAGGUAUCACCACAUUUAAUAAAACACCAUCAGAACGUAUCUGGACAGGAGACCCCUGACCUUUAACCUGUCACAAGCUCUUUGUUCUUCGUCUCCAGAGAACAUUAAGUAGACAGAGAGCCACACCUAUGGAGCAGGUCCCCUGAAUGAACUGGAUUUCCACUUGAAUUAAGAAGAAACUCAUCGUCGCUGUGGACUCAAAUUAUUUGUGAAUGAACAGACAACUUCAGUUUCUCAUUUGAAUACUAGCGCAGAAUCACUAGAUUAAAUGGUAACGGAAUCCAAUGAAUCCCAACAGAGCAAGAAAGUGUCAGUGUGUUCCUGGCCUUCCUAUCGCUUCUCUACUGAAUAGAAGAGCAAAGGGAACCUUUCUGAAACUCGUCUUAAUAUCGGAGCAGCAGGCAAUUCCUGUACUUCUGUCUUCUGCUAUGACAGAGAUAGAAAUCAUCGUGUAUGUCAGGGAAACAAUCCAAUUUCCCUAAAUUUGGGGUGGGCGGUCUUUAUUUAAUACCAGGGGUUCCCCUCUACUAUUGACACUAUUCCAGUUGGGUCAGGUUUCCUGGAAGAGCUUUCCGAUUGAUUUUCAUUUUAAAACACAUUCGCUCCUCAUCCUCUCUCUGAGCUGGCAGGCAGGCCAAUUCAGGGAACACGCGUGAGGCCUGAGUCAUGUCAGUCCCUGACCUGGGCAGCUGGCUGUGAGGAGGCCCUAACAGACCCAGAACUCUUGUGCGGAAGUGCCUGAAAGCGGGACUCACUGAUCACAGUCAUGGCUCCCAGCCCUUGGUCCCCAUUUGGAGGAAUGGCUCCCCCUCUGGUCUGCAGAUCCCAGGAGGCAGCUGCUGAGACCCUUGCUCUGAGUAGCUGCCGGCCACCCGAGUGGUGUUCCUUUCGUUUCUGCUUUCCUCAGCAGUACCGUGAGGUCCCAGGCUGCGCCACAGAGACUGUCCAACAGCUGGCCUCCCUGGGAAUGCCUGAUUGAGGCCCCAUUUCCUUACACUCUUCCCUAGAAGAUAGUGACUUCUGUACUCACCCAGAGAAUCUUCAGGAAAUCUAUGGUGGGGCGUCUUCAAAAAGAUGCCUAAGGUCUUCACAAGAAAUGGACACGGAGGUCUAGAACAAGUACCGAACAGGGUUAGCUUUAAAGUUGGUGAAAUAUAAGAAAGCUAAAUUAAGAUUGUCAAGAAUAUGAUGCAGUGGGAAAAUAAGUCGUCUAAAAUAUUGAAUUGCACCAACUGUUUCUUCAAGGCUGCGAUGAUCAUUGGAUUUUCUCAUUCAUUCUGUUAACAUGAUCUGUAAUAAUGGUUAAUUCUUUUGAAUGUGAAAACAACCUUGCCUUCAGGAACUCAACUCUCUUUAAUGGCUUUUGUGUCCAUUUGCAUUUCCCCAAGAAUUUUCAUUUCUUUAUCUGAAGCACUGGUGGAUUUCUCUCAUGCUCUUUCAUUGCCUCCACCUUGCUGGAAUAUACCGCACGUUCCAAUGCAGACAUCAGCAUUGUGCUUCCUAGCAGAGAAGGCUGGAACCAAAGAAAUGGGCAAACUCGGAGACUGCAGUGGAGGAUGUGGCAUUGCUGUUAACGAGACCAGGAACCUCACAUUUCAAGAAAAACCACAAUCUCCUUCAUGAACAUAGAUGCACAACUCGUAAACGAGUCAUAAGCAAAAUAUAGCACAGUGAAGAUGAGAUUUAUGAUACUAAAGUGAACACAUGUGUUUUGUUCAGAUCUAGUGACAGCCUGUAUCAUCUACAGUUCAUAAAUGAGGAAAAGUACUAGGAUAUUUCUUCAAAAUGGUACUUUAUUAUAAGGAUGAAGGCUAAAAACUUCUAUUUGGUGGCCUAUUAAUAAGUACAUUAUAGGUUCUUUUUAGUUUUCCCUUAUUUCUUCCUUAGUCCUAUGUUUGCUACGCUAGGCAUAUUUGAGUGCCCAGUAUCUACUCAUUGGCUUACUGGAAGGCCAUCCUUAUCAUAGAAGGACAAUCAGGUCAAAAUUGUGUUGAGCUCUGUGGGGUCAAGAACACAGGACUGAGAGUCAAGAGACUUUGUGAUAGGCCUACCUGUGCCACAAACUAGACAUAUGACCUUAGGCAAGUAAGUCACAUGGCUCAAACCCUACAUAGGCCUUUUCUGGAAGAGGUAUGCCUGGGCCCACAGAAUCUCAAAAUUCCUCCAUUUUGCUUGUAUCUUUCCAAAGUAGUUCCUGCUCUCCAAAACUCUGCGAUCCAGGACAAAAGUAAGACAUAGCUAUAGAUGAUUCUGCUACCAAACGAAUGCUAAAAGAGGUUUACUAGAAGUGGAAUGAUGCAUGUGGACAUAUCGACUUUGCAAGGUUCUCUGAAAUUCUUUUAAAGGAGGCAUUUAUAGAAUUGGAUUUUGAGUCAUGGUUAGGAUGUUAAAGAACUGUUAGAAGGUGCAGAGAAAAGGAAAACCUUGAUCAGAACAGGAAAGUAGGGUUGCAAUGCUUAGCACCUUGAGAAGUGGUGAGCGCACAGACUGUAUCGGUGAGAAGUGAUCCACUGGGAACGUGCUGUAAGAAUGUCUGGACAGAAUGCAGAGCUACAGGUUGACCCACUGCUCACAGUAAUUCCAUGUUCAGACAUGCUAGUGAUGCUCUUUUUUGUGUCAGAUCCUACAGAUAUCUAUUGUUUCUGCCGCAUUUGAACUAUUAAACUAUUCAAGAGUCAAUAUUUUAAAUGGAACCAUGCCUGACACUUCAUAACUGCUAUAUAAGUGUUUGUAAUUACAAAGUAAAUAAAUAACUAACUUCCCAGUAUGCCUGCUCUCUUUGUUCAUGUGCUUCCGUGUGUUUCUUAAUUUGUCCCUACAUUAUUUGAUGAUAGGAGACAAUCAAGUAGCAGACUUGAAUUUCCG